This 758-nucleotide long non-coding RNA is filed under the name Ornithorhynchus anatinus (platypus). RNAcentral's name for it is "lncRNA (ENSOANG00000035261.2)". Lineage: Eukaryota; Metazoa; Chordata; Mammalia; Monotremata; Ornithorhynchidae. The record is from RNAcentral.
AGAAGAACUAGGAGUUCCGAUUUGCUAGCAUGAAAAAUAACUUUCCUGAAGUAACUAUUGUGUUUCCCUUUCUUACCAUAGUUUGGACACCUUUAAGCCCCUCGAAGCUGGUGAGAUUACGUCAGAAGACGGAGGUGACUAAAAUAUAAGGGAAAAAAAUAACUUCAGAGUGUCCCAGUUCCCCAGAGUAUCUGCCUAAUGGACCACGAACUGGAUGGGAGACUGCAGAAGGGCUGCUGUUCAAAAGCAGGAUGACUCCAAUGUAUGCCACCGUGAGGAUGCUUCCAGAGCCCUCAGUCAGUGAUUCAGCAGUGUGUGCCGAGCAUCCACUGGAAAAACACUACAGAAGAAUAAAAUAUUAUUUGAUGUCUAAUGGGGGGCAGGGAGAUCACCAUAAAGGAUUGCUUAAAAACCAACACAUUUCUGCAAGCUUGAAAAGAAUGGUAAAGUGCUUUGAAGACCUGAAAUUUUCCCAUAAUUCCACUGCUCUAUUCCUUAAGUUUGCGUCUGUGUCUCCACAAGCAGUUCAAGAGUGCAGUUACUCCAAAGAGCCAGAGCAGAUACUGAAGCAGCUGACAUUUUCAAAUAGUCUAGAUAAGAACACCCUCCCAGCUAACCUGAAAGAAACUAGGAUGAGUGCCAGCCCCUGCUUUCAUUUCCCAGUUCUGAAAUGGCUAUGUAUGUCACAACCUGUGAGUCUGGAAACUCAGCACUCUCGACAGGGAACAGGUGAGUGACUUUCUUAUUUUCCUGAAAAG